RNAcentral lists this ribosomal RNA (253 nucleotides) under uncultured bacterium. RNAcentral describes it as "partial 16S ribosomal RNA". It matches the Rfam family "Bacterial small subunit ribosomal RNA", at positions 524 to 776 of the family's 1533-position model. The record is from RNAcentral.
UACAGAGGUCCCAAGCGUUGUUCGGAUUCAUUGGGCGUAAAGGGUGCGUAGGUGGCGCCAUAAGUCAGGUGUGAAAUCUCGGGGCUCAACCCCGAAACUGCACUUGAUACUGUGGUGCUGGAGUACUGGAGAGGAGAUUGGAAUUUACGGUGUAGCAGUGAAAUGCGUAGAUAUCGUAAGGAAGACCAGUGGCGAAGGCGAAUCUCUGGACAGUUACUGACACUGAGGCACGAAGGCCAGGGGAGCAAACGGG